GGAACGAACGCUGGCGGCGUGGAUAAGACAUGCAAGUCGAACGGGACUUAAUCUGUAGCAAUACAGGUUAAGUUUAGUGGCGAACGGGUGCGUAACACGUGGGCAAUCUGCCGAGAAGUGGGAGAUAGCUCGCCGAAAGGCGAAUUAAUACCGCAUAUGAUCAGGGACGACAUCUUCCCAACAUCAAACCGCCGGGGCAACCUGGCGCUUCUUGAUGAGCCCGCGGCCUAUCAGCUAGUUGGUGAGGUAACGGCUCACCAAGGCUAUGACGGGUAGCGUGGUCUGAGAGGACGACCAGUCACACGUAGG
RNAcentral lists this ribosomal RNA (309 nucleotides) under uncultured soil bacterium. RNAcentral's name for it is "bacterial SSU rRNA". It matches the Rfam family "Bacterial small subunit ribosomal RNA", at positions 27 to 318 of the family's 1533-position model. The record is from RNAcentral.